CAGAGUUCGGGGGCAAUCCCAGUCCCGACCUCCAACCCUUUGUGAACAUAUCUUGUUGCUUCGGGGGCGACCCUGCCGUUCGCGGCAUUCCCCCCGAAGGUCAUCAAAACACUGCAUUAUUACGUCGGAGUAAAAAGUUAAUUUAAUA
Molecule: unclassified non-coding RNA, 148 nt
Filed under: uncultured Mycosphaerellaceae
Lineage: Eukaryota; Fungi; Ascomycota; Dothideomycetes; Mycosphaerellales; Mycosphaerellaceae
Source: RNAcentral